UUCUUUUUCUUUGCUGGUAACCUUUUAAGUUUUGCCGAGGCGGUGAGGGUUCUUUCGGUGCCGAUAAUUACAUUCCAAUUCUGCAGCGCCUUGACGCAUUUCAGAACGCUCCUUGCUGUCUCUUGAGCCUCAUCACCCUGUGGUUGUGCCUGUUUCUGUUACCUCCAUUUGACGGAUGGGCAAAAUUCCCAGAAGACCAGCUGGCUGUAACCCAGCUGCUGGGGCCAGUUCACUUGGAACCUGGUGCCUCCAUCCAAAGUACCUCAUGUGCCUUUAUACCCGAGCACUUUGGGGUUCUCCUGUCCUGACGUCAUCCACGGUACAGGCUUUCUUGAUCAUGGAUGGUGAAGAUAUACCAGAUUUUUCGAGUUUAAAGGAGGAAACUGCUUACUGGAAGGAACUUUCCUUGAAGUAUAAACAAAGGUAAUAUUGAA
Molecule: non-coding RNA, 434 nt
Organism: Leptonychotes weddellii (Weddell seal)
Lineage: Eukaryota; Metazoa; Chordata; Mammalia; Carnivora; Phocidae
Source: RefSeq, a predicted model, not a curated record